Molecule: microRNA precursor, 57 nt
Filed under: Anolis carolinensis (green anole)
Lineage: Eukaryota; Metazoa; Chordata; Lepidosauria; Squamata; Anolidae
Description: Aca-Mir-144-v2_pre stem-loop
Rfam family: mir-144 microRNA precursor family
Source: RNAcentral
GGAUAUCAUCAUAUACUGUAAGUUGGAAUGAGACACUACAGUAUAGAUGAUGUACUA